AAGGUACAAAUCGUUCGUUCUGCCCCUGAACAAGGCAGUUAACCCACUGUUCCUAAGCCAUCAUUGAAAAUAAGAAUGUGUUCUUAACUGACUUGCCGAGUAAAAUAAAAAUAAAUAAAUAAAAAUUGUGUCGACGACCGGCUCCCUCCUAGUCAGGUUGUGUCGACGACCGGCUCCCUCCUAGUCAGGUUGUGUCGACGACCGGCUCCCUCCUAGUCAGGUUGUGUCGACGACCGGCUCCCUCCUAGUCAGGUUGUGUCGAUGACCGGCUCCUUCCUAGUCAGAUUAUAUUGACGACUGCCUCCCUCUAGUCACUAGUGUGUCUUAUUUAUUUAAUCAAACAGCGUUUAAAGCAUCAUAUGUUCAGUACAUAUAGAUUUUAUAAAAACAAGUGGGGCGAUUGAUAGAAAUUACAGAUGACUCUUGGUUGACCGUGGAUCAAAUCCAGGCUGUAUCAUAACCGGCCGUGAUUGGGAGUCCCAUAGGGCGGCGCACAAUUGGCCCAGCGUCGUCCAGGGAACGCAGUCAUUGUAAAUAAGAUUUUGUUCUUAACUGAUUUGCCUAGUUAAAUAAAGGUUACAUUUAAAUAAUUUUUAAAAAG
Long non-coding RNA from Oncorhynchus tshawytscha (Chinook salmon), 601 nucleotides. Lineage: Eukaryota; Metazoa; Chordata; Actinopteri; Salmoniformes; Salmonidae. The record is from Ensembl.